GAUGAACGCUGGCGGCGUGCCUAAUACAUGCAAGUCGAGCGAACAGACGAGGAGCUUGCUCCUCUGACGUUAGCGGCGGACGGGUGAGUAACACGUGGAUAACCUACCUAUAAGACUGGGAUAACUUCGGGAAACCGGAGCUAAUACCGGAUAAUAUAUUGAACCGCAUGGUUCAAUAGUGAAAGACGGUUUUGCCGUCACUUAUAGAUGGAUCCGCGCCGCAUUAGCUAGUUGGUAAGGUAACGGCUUACCAAGGCAACGAUGCGUAGCCGACCUGAGAGGGUGAUCGGCCACACUGGAACUGAGACACGGUGCAGACUCCUACGGGAGGCAGCAGUAGGGAAUCUUCCGCAAUGGGCGAAAGCCUGACGGAGCAACGCCGCGUGAGUGAUGAAGGUCUUCGGAUCGUAAAACUCUGUUAUUAGGGAAGAACAAAUGUGUAAGUAACUAUGCACGUCUUGACGGUACCUAAUCAGAAAGCCACGACUAACUACGUG
RNAcentral lists this ribosomal RNA (497 nucleotides) under uncultured bacterium. Its description in RNAcentral is "partial 16S ribosomal RNA". It matches the Rfam family "Bacterial small subunit ribosomal RNA", at positions 28 to 507 of the family's 1533-position model. The record is from RNAcentral.